This 253-nucleotide ribosomal RNA is filed under the name uncultured bacterium. RNAcentral describes it as "partial 16S ribosomal RNA". It matches the Rfam family "Bacterial small subunit ribosomal RNA", at positions 524 to 776 of the family's 1533-position model. The record is from RNAcentral.
UACGUAGGGUGCAAGCGUUAAUCGGAAUUACUGGGCGUAAAGCGUGCGCAGGCGGUUGUGCAAGACAGAGGGGAAAUCCCCGGGCUCAACCUGGGAACUGCAUUUGUGACUGCAUCGCUGGAGUACGGCAGAGGGGGAUGGAAUUCCGCGUGUAGCAGUGAAAUGCGUAGAUAUGCGGAGGAACACCGAUGGCGAAGGCAAUCCCCUGGGCCUGUACUGACGCUCAUGCACGAAAGCGUGGGGAGCAAACAGG